Molecule: unclassified non-coding RNA, 167 nt
Filed under: uncultured Nectria
Lineage: Eukaryota; Fungi; Ascomycota; Sordariomycetes; Hypocreales; Nectriaceae
Description: sequence contains ITS2
Source: RNAcentral
CAACCCUCAAGCCCUCCGGCUUGGUGUUGGGGACCGGCCGCCUACCUCACGGCGGUGGCCGCCCCCGAAAUCUAGUGGCGGUCUCGCUGUAGCUUCCCCUGCGUAGUAAUUCACCUCGCACUGGAGCGCGGCGCGGCCACGCCGUGAAACCCCCAACUUUCUGAAGG